GAGAAUGUAGAAUCGUCUUUGGAGCGGACCUGAGAGUGGCAAGCAUAAGGGACGAAGACGGGGAAACAUGUCGGACGCGAUCAUACCAGCACUAAAGCACCGGAUCCCAUCAGAACUCCGAAGUUAAGCGUGCUUGGGCGAGAGUAGUACUAGGAUGGGUGACCUCCUGGGAAGUCCUCGUGUUGCAUUCCCUUUUUAAUUAUUUUUUGCGCCUUGUGACAAACAUAUCGCACAUGCGCGAUAUAUAUUAAUCCCGUUAUAUUAUUUUUGACGUUUGCGACAUGUUUAAGCUCGAUGCUCAUUGCUCGCGCGUCUUGGGGCGGCUUUGUGGCGCGAAGAGCGCGUUCUGAAAGGAGUGGAAAAAACUCGUGUUGCUGCGGUAUGGAGGGAGGGGUGGAAACCAUGGAAAACCCGUCUCCGUGAUUGAGCGUGAGAGUAAGUAGUAUAGGACAUUAUCCAUUGUUAGGGAAGAGUUGUAAUGGUAGUGAGAAUGUAGAAUCGUCUUUGGAGCGGACCUGGGAGUUGCAAGCAUAAGGGACAAAGACGGGGAAACAUGUCGGAUGUGAUCAUACCAGCACUAAAGCACCGGAUCCCAUCAGAACUCCGAAGUUAAGCGUGCUUGGGCGAGAGUAGUACUAGCAUGGGUGACCUCCUGGGAAGUCCUCAUGUUGCAUUCCCUUUUUAAUUAUUUUUUGCGCCUUGUGACAAACAUAUCGCACGUGCGCGAUAUAUAUUAAUCCCGUUAUAUUAUUUUUGACAUUUGCGA
Molecule: long non-coding RNA, 766 nt
Filed under: Triticum aestivum (bread wheat)
Lineage: Eukaryota; Viridiplantae; Streptophyta; Magnoliopsida; Poales; Poaceae
Source: RNAcentral